GAAGAAGUGAAUUAAGGGCAUUUGGUGGAUGCCUUGGCAUGCACAGGCGAAGAAGGACGUGAUACGCUGCGAAAAGCCGUGGGGAGCUGCGAAUAAGCUUUGAUCCAUGGAUCUCCGAAUGGGGCAACCCACCUUAAAUGCUUGGAAAAUCCAAACCGUCUUCGACGGCUUGGGUUUCCAAGCAUUGUGAUAAGGUAUCUUACUUUCGAAUACAUAGGGGUAAGAAGCGAACGCAGGGAACUGAAACAUCUAAGUACCUGCAGGAAAGGACAUCAACCGAGACUCCGCAAGUAGUGGCGAGCGAACGCGGACCAGGCCAGUGGCAAUGAUGAAUAAAGCGGAACGAUUUGGAAAAGUCGGCCAUAGAGGGUGAUAGCCCCUUACGCGUAGAACAGUCAUUGUCCUUGAGUAGGGCGGGACACGUGAAAUCCUGUCUGAACAUGGGGAGACCACUCUCCAAGCCUAAGUACUCGUGCAUGACCGAUAGCGAACAAGUACCGUGAGGGAAAGGUGAAAAGCACCCCGACGAGGGGAGUGAAAUAGAACCUGAAACCGGAUGCCUACAAACAGUCGGAGCCCGCAAGGGUGACGGCGUACCUUUUGUAUAAUGGGUCAACGACUUAGUGUAACUAGCAAGCUUAAGCCGGUAGGUGUAGGCGCAGCGAAAGCGAGUCUGAAUAGGGCGAUUGAGUUAGUUGCAUUAGACCCGAAACCGAGUGAUCUAGCCAUGAGCAGGCUGAAGGUUGGGUAACACCAACUGGAGGGCCGAACCCAUAACUGUUGCAAUAGUUCGGGAUGACUUGUGGCUAGGGGUGAAAGGCCAAUCAAACUCGGAAAUAGCUGGUUCUCCGCGAAAUCUAUUUAGGUAGAGCGUCGACCGAAUACCCUCGGGGGUAGAGCACUGGAUGGGCUAUGGGGACUCACCGUCUUACUGAUCCUAACCAAACUCCGAAUACCGAGGAGUACUAGUCGGCAGACACACGGCGGGUGCUAACGUCCGUCGUGAAAAGGGCAACAACCCUGACCUCCAGCUAAGGUCCCCAAGUCAUGGCUAAGUGGGAAAGGAUGUGAGGAUCCCAAAACAACCAGGAUGUUGGCUUAGAAGCAGCCAUCAUUUAAAGAAAGCGUAACAGCUCACUGGUCUAAAUAAGGGUCUUUGCGCCGAAAAUGUAACGGGGCUAAAGCCAUGCACCGAAGCUGAGGAUUUGCAGUAAUGCAAGUGGUAGCGGAGCGUUCCGUAAGUCUGUGAAGGCGGACCCGUGAGGGCUGCUGGAGAUAUCGGAAGUGCGAAUGUUGACAUGAGUAACGAUAAAGGGAGUGAGAGACUCCCUCGCCGAAAGACCAAGGGUUCCUGCUUAAAGUUAAUCUGAGCAGGGUUAGCCGGCCCCUAAGACGAGGCGGACACGCGUAGUCGAUGGGAACCACGUUAAUAUUCGUGGGCCUGGUGGUAGUGACGGAUCUCGUGUGUUGUUCAACCUUAUUGGAUUGGUUGGGCGGCGAAGAGGUUCCAGGAAAUAGCUCCACCGUAUAGACCGUACCCGAAACCGACACAGGUGGUCAGGUAGAGUAUACCAAGGCGCUUGAGAGAACUAUGUUGAAGGAACUCGGCAAAUUGCACGCGUAACUUCGGAAGAAGCGUGACCCUUUUGUACGCAAGUAUGAUGGGGUGGCACAGACCAGGGGGUAGCGACUGUUUAUCAAAAACACAGGGCUCUGCGAAGUAGCAAUACGACGUAUAGGGUCUGACGCCUGCCCGGUGCUGGAAGGUUAAAGGGAGGGGUGCAAGCUCUGAACUGAAGCCCCAGUAAACGGCGGCCGUAACUAUAACGGUCCUAAGGUAGCGAAAUUCCUUGUCGGG
RNAcentral lists this ribosomal RNA (1858 nucleotides) under Agrobacterium deltae. RNAcentral describes it as "Agrobacterium deltaense partial 23S ribosomal RNA". It matches the Rfam family "Bacterial large subunit ribosomal RNA", at positions 1 to 1976 of the family's 2925-position model. The record is from RNAcentral. Lineage: Bacteria; Pseudomonadati; Pseudomonadota; Alphaproteobacteria; Hyphomicrobiales; Rhizobiaceae.